UUAAGCGACUAAGCGUACACGGUGGAUGCCCUGGCAGUCAGAGGCGAUGAAGGGCGUGCUAAUCUGCGAUAAGCGCCGGUAAGGUGAUAUGAACCGUUAUAACCGGCGAUACCCGAAUGGGGAAACCCAGUGUGAUUCGUCACACUAUCAUUAACUGAAUCCAUAGGUUAAUGAGGCGAACCGGGGGAACUGAAACAUCUAAGUACCCCGAGGAAAAGAAAUCAACCGAGAUUCCCCCAGUAGCGGCGAGCGAACGGGGAGGAGCCCAGAGCCUGAAUCAGCAUGUGUGUUAGUGGAAGCGUCUGGAAAGGCGCGCGAUACAGGGUGACAGCCCCGUACACAAAAGCGCAUGUGCUGUGAGCUCGAUGAGUAGGGCGGGACACGUGGUAUCCUGUCUGAAUAUGGGGGGACCAUCCUCCAAGGCUAAAUACUCCUGACUGACCGAUAGUGAACCAGUACCGUGAGGGAAAGGCGAAAAGAACCCCGGCGAGGGGAGUGAAAAAGAACCUGAAACCGUGUACGUACAAGCAGUGGGAGCACCCUUCGGGGUGUGACUGCGUACCUUUUGUAUAAUGGGUCAGCGACUUAUAUUCUGUAGCAAGGUUAACCGUAUAGGGGAGCCGGAGGGAAACCGAGUCUUAACCGGGCGUUAAGUUGCAGGGUAUAGACCCGAAACCCGGUGAUCUAGCCAUGGGCAGGUUGAAGGUUGGGUAACACUAACUGGAGGACCGAACCGACUAAUGUUGAAAAAUUAGCGGAUGACCUGUGGCUGGGGGUGAAAGGCCAAUCAAACCGGGAGAUAGCUGGUUCUCCCCGAAAGCUAUUUAGGUAGCGCCUCGUGAAUUCAUCUCCGGGGGUAGAGCACUGUUUCGGCUAGGGGGCCAUCCCGGCUUACCAACCCGAUGCAAACUGCGAAUACCGGAGAAUGUUAUCACGGGAGACACACGGCGGGUGCUAACGUCCGUCGUGAAGAGGGAAACAACCCAGACCGCCAGCUAAGGUCCCAAAGUCAUGGUUAAGUGGGAAACGAUGUGGGAAGGCCCAGACAGCCAGGAUGUUGGCUUAGAAGCAGCCAUCAUUUAAAGAAAGCGUAAUAGCUCACUGGUCGAGUCGGCCUGCGCGGAAGAUGUAACGGGGCUAAACCAUGCACCGAAGCUGCGGCAGCGAACGUAUCACCCAAGACAACUUUACGGAGUUGACGAUUGACGGAGCGAAGCGACGUCAAAGCGUUCAUUAAAGUCGAGUUGGCUUAGGGAUACGUUCGUUGGGUAGGGGAGCGUUCUGUAAGCCUGUGAAGGUGUGUCGUGAGGCAUGCUGGAGGUAUCAGAAGUGCGAAUGCUGACAUAAGUAACGAUAAAGCGGGUGAAAAGCCCGCUCGCCGGAAGACCAAGGGUUCCUGUCCAACGUUAAUCGGGGCAGGGUGAGUCGACCCCUAAGGCGAGGCCGAAAGGCGUAGUCGAUGGGAAACGGGUUAAUAUUCCCGUACUUGGUGUUACUGCGAAGGGGGGACGGAGAAGGCUAUGUUGGCCGGGCGACGGUUGUCCCGGUUUAAGCGUGUAGGUGUGUGUUCCAGGUAAAUCCGGUUCACUUUAACACUGAGGCGUGACGACGAGGCACUACGGUGCUGAAGCAACAAAUGCCCUGCUUCCAGGAAAAGCCUCUAAGCAUCAGGUAACACGAAAUCGUACCCCAAACCGACACAGGUGGUCAGGUAGAGAAUACCAAGGCGCUUGAGAGAACUCGGGUGAAGGAACUAGGCAAAAUGGUGCCGUAACUUCGGGAGAAGGCACGCUGACACGUAGGUGAAGUGAUUUACUCAUGGAGCUGAAGUCAGUCGAAGAUACCAGCUGGCUGCAACUGUUUAUUAAAAACACAGCACUGUGCAAACACGAAAGUGGACGUAUACGGUGUGACGCCUGCCCGGUGCCGGAAGGUUAAUUGAUGGGGUCAGCGUAAGCGAAGCUCCUGAUCGAAGCCCCGGUAAACGGCGGCCGUAACUAUAACGGUCCUAAGGUAGCGAAAUUCCUUGUCGGGUAAGUUCCGACCUGCACGAAUGGCGUAAUGAUGGCCAGGCUGUCUCCACCCGAGACUCAGUGAAAUUGAACUCGCUGUGAAGAUGCAGUGUACCCGCGGCAAGACGGAAAGACCCCGUGAACCUUUACUAUAGCUUGACACUGAACAUUGAGCCUUGAUGUGUAGGAUAGGUGGGAGGCUUUGAAGUGUGGACGCCAGUCUGCAUGGAGCCGACCUUGAAAUACCACCCUUUAAUGUUUGAUGUUCUAACGUGGACCCGUAAUCCGGGUUGCGGACAGUGUCUGGUGGGUAGUUUGACUGGGGCGGUCUCCUCCUAAAGAGUAACGGAGGAGCACGAAGGUUGGCUAAUCCUGGUCGGACAUCAGGAGGUUAGUGCAAUGGCAUAAGCCAGCUUGACUGCGAGCGUGACGGCGCGAGCAGGUGCGAAAGCAGGUCAUAGUGAUCCGGUGGUUCUGAAUGGAAGGGCCAUCGCUCAACGGAUAAAAGGUACUCCGGGGAUAACAGGCUGAUACCGCCCAAGAGUUCAUAUCGACGGCGGUGUUUGGCACCUCGAUGUCGGCUCAUCACAUCCUGGGGCUGAAGUAGGUCCCAAGGGUAUGGCUGUUCGCCAUUUAAAGUGGUACGCGAGCUGGGUUUAGAACGUCGUGAGACAGUUCGGUCCCUAUCUGCCGUGGGCGCUGGAGAACUGAGGGGGGCUGCUCCUAGUACGAGAGGACCGGAGUGGACGCAUCACUGGUGUUCGGGUUGUCAUGCCAAUGGCACUGCCCGGUAGCUAAAUGCGGAAGAGAUAAGUGCUGAAAGCAUCUAAGCACGAAACUUGCCCCGAGAUGAGUUCUCCCUGAGACUUAGAGUCUCCUGAAGGAACGUUGAAGACGACGACGUUGAUAGGCCGGGUGUGUAAGCGCAGCGAUGCGUUGAGCUAACCGGUACUAAUGAACCGUGAGGCUUAACCUU
This 2988-nucleotide ribosomal RNA is filed under the name Salmonella enterica subsp. enterica serovar Typhimurium str. DT104. RNAcentral describes it as "bacterial LSU rRNA". It matches the Rfam family "Bacterial large subunit ribosomal RNA". Lineage: Bacteria; Pseudomonadati; Pseudomonadota; Gammaproteobacteria; Enterobacterales; Enterobacteriaceae. RNAcentral also lists the same sequence under 2 other names. The record is from RNAcentral.